UAGGGAAUCUUCGGCAAUGGGGGGAACCCUGACCGAGCAACGCCGCGUGAGUGAAGAAGGUUUUCGGAUCGUAAAGCUCUGUUGUUAAGGAAGAACGAGUGUGAGAAUGGAAAGUUCAUGCUGUGACGGUACUUAACCAGAAAGGGACGGCUAACUACGUGCCAGCAGCCGCGGUAAUACGUAGGUGGCAAGCGUUGUCCGGAAUUAUUGGGCGUAAAGCGCGCGCAGGUGGUUUAGAAAGUCUGAUGUGAAAGCCCACGGCUCAACCGUGGAGGGUCAUUGGAAACUAAUAAACUUGAGUGCAGGAGAGAAAAGUGGAAUUCCUAGUGUAGCGGUGAAAUGCGUAGAGAUUAGGAGGAACACCGGUGGCGAAAGCGGCUUUUUGGCCUGCAACUGACACUGAGGCGCGAAAGCGUGGGGAGCAAACAGG
RNAcentral lists this ribosomal RNA (430 nucleotides) under Verrucomicrobiota bacterium. Its description in RNAcentral is "Verrucomicrobia bacterium partial 16S ribosomal RNA". It matches the Rfam family "Bacterial small subunit ribosomal RNA", at positions 355 to 776 of the family's 1533-position model. The record is from RNAcentral. Lineage: Bacteria; Pseudomonadati; Verrucomicrobiota.